ACCUUCGCAAUGCGCGAAAGCGUGACGAGGUUAAUCCGAGUGGCUUCCGCUGAGGAAGUCUUUUGCCGACUUUAAAAAGGUCGGAGAAUAAGGGGAGGGCAAGUCUGGUGUCAGCCGCCGCGGUAAUACCAGCUCCUCGAGUGGUCGGGGCGAUUAUUGGGCCUAAAGCAUCCGUAGCCGGUUCCGUAGGUCUCCUGCAAAAUCCAGUCGCUCAACGAUUGGCCCGCAGGAGAUACCGCGGGACUAGGAGGCGGGAGAGGUGGACGGUACUCCACGUGUAGGGGUAAAAUCCUUUGAUCCGUGGAAGACCACCAGUGGCGAAGGCGGUCCACCAGAACGCGCUCGACGGUGAGGGAUGAAAGCUGGGGGAGCGAACCGGAUUAGAUACCCGGGUAGUCCCAGCCGUAAACGAUGCGAGCUAGAUGAUCCAGUCGCAAAUCGCGACUGGAGUGUCGCAGGGAAGCCGUUAAGCUCGCCGCCUGGGGAGUACGGUCGCAAGACUGAAACUUAA
Molecule: ribosomal RNA, 511 nt
Filed under: uncultured archaeon
Lineage: Archaea
Description: bacterial SSU rRNA
Rfam family: Archaeal small subunit ribosomal RNA
Source: RNAcentral